This 657-nucleotide long non-coding RNA is filed under the name Oryza brachyantha (malo sina). RNAcentral's name for it is "long non-coding RNA (OBRA_LNC000961)". The record is from RNAcentral. Lineage: Eukaryota; Viridiplantae; Streptophyta; Magnoliopsida; Poales; Poaceae.
CCAUCUCACCCUGCACUGGGAUGUCCCAGAGAGCUUACCGAAGUUUAUUUUCUAACUUUGGCUUUUAGAUCACUAAAUAUAUAUAUAUAUAUAUAAUUUUUAUUUAUAAAUUAUUUUUUAAUUAUAAAUAUAUCAUUUGGUUUUCGGCUUUCUCUAUAAAAAACCAAACAAUCACCACUUUGUUAUCUCGGCCCAAGCCAGUUGCUUGUGAAUACCAAACGAGCAAACACUCUCAAAGCACACGAUGCUUGGGAUGGCAAGUUUCAGGAGUUCAGCAGACAGGCUGACAUUCCGCGAGUUGGCUCCCCGCUGGACUGUCAUGAGUCCAAAACAUUCUUCCCCCAAUGUGUCUGCAGUGUACUUGAAAACACAUGAGCAAGAUAGCUCCAAUGGGUCUGUUUUGUAAUGCUAGCUCUCCCAAUGCCUUCCAUACUCAGACUCUUCUCUCUGUUUUUCUGUCACUCAGAAUUGACAGUUCACAAGGAUCAUUGAGGAGGAGGAAGGGAAGCAAAUGGGGCAUGUGUUUAUAAAGGUAAAAUGGCUUGAGAACAAAGGGAAGUGUGGCAUGUUCCUCAGGACAGGGGAUUAAUGUGUGAAGAGGUCGAUUUCAAUUUUGUAAGUGAGGUUGUGAGUGUGCAGAGAGUACCUGAAUAGGUG